AGAGUUUGAUCAUGGCUCAGAUUGAACGCUGGCGGCAUGCCUUACACAUGCAAGUCGAGCGGCAGCGCGGGGGCAACCCUGGCGGCGAGCGGCGCACGGGUGAGUAAUGCAUCGGAACGUGUCCUCUUGUGGGGGAUAACCAGUCGAAAGACUGGCUAAUACCGCAUGAGCACGAGAGUGGAAAGCGGGGGACCGCAAGGCCUCGCGCGAGAGGAGCGGCCGAUGCCGGAUUAGCUAGUUGGUGGGGUAAUGGCCUACCAAGGCGACGAUCCGUAGCUGGUUUGAGAGAACGACCAGCCACACUGGGACUGAGACACGGCCCAGACUCCUACGGGAGGCAGCAGUGGGGGAAUUUUGGACAAUGGGGGCAACCCUGAUCCAGCCAUGCCGCGUGUGUGAAGAAGGCCUUCGGGUUGUAAAGCACUUUCGGCCGGAACGAAAUCGCGCGAUCUAACAAGUCGCGUGGAUGACGGUACCGGAAGAAGAAGCACCGGCUAACUACGUGCCAGCAGCCGCGGUAAUACGUAGGGUGCGAGCGUUAAUCGGAAUUACUGGGCGUAAAGUGUGCGCAGGCGGCCGAGCAAGUCGAGUGUGAAAGCCCCGAGCUUAACUUGGGAAUUGCGCUCGAAACUACUUGGCUGGAGUGUGGCAGAGGGAGGUGGAAUUCCACGUGUAGCGGUGAAAUGCGUAGAGAUGUGGAGGAACACCAAUGGCGAAGGCAGCCUCCUGGGCCAACACUGACGCUCAUGCACGAAAGCGUGGGGAGCAAACAGGAUUAGAUACCCUAGUAGUCC
This 794-nucleotide ribosomal RNA is filed under the name uncultured bacterium. RNAcentral's name for it is "bacterial SSU rRNA". It matches the Rfam family "Bacterial small subunit ribosomal RNA", at positions 8 to 796 of the family's 1533-position model. The record is from RNAcentral.